AAAGACUCCUUUCCUUUCCAUCUUGUACUGGCCUUAGUCCUGGCCUUAUUCCUGGCCUUAGUCCUGGCCUUAGUCCUAGCCUUAGUUCUGGCCUUGGUCCUGGCCUUAGUCCUGGCCUUGGUCCUGGCCUUAGUCCUGGCCUUAGUCCUAGCCUUAGUUCUGGCCUUGGUCCUGGCCUUAGUCCUGGCCUUAGCCCUGGCCAUUCCCACACGAAGCGUUUGGUCCUAAAGGUCUUAGGGACGGAUUGCGGAAUGUACCGUACUGUAGGAGGAACAAGCAGGUGAGUCCAAGCACCUUAAAUACCUGACAGCAGGGUGGCGGCAGGAGUGAGAGGGCCAAGGGUCAUCAACAAGCUAGCAGACGUCUAGCCGCUAGUUGUGGCUGCAAAGGACAGCGACCUCAUGGGGAAACACACCCCAAUAGGGUCAUCUGCAGGGUGGUAGUGGCUCCAGAGGAACCUGCUGCUGACCCGGGAGGCUCUGGAGGAGGUGCAUCACAUCGUUGCUCUAGAUGGUUUCUCUCUAACGUACAGGUAACGUAUGACAGUUCAUUUUUCCAUCAUCAUCAUUAUAUAACUGCAGUAGUUUGCUGUAGUUCAGAGUGAGCAUCCCUCAAACAUCAUCUCUGUGGGUAACCACACACUGCUCUAUUCUUUCCUGCGGAUGCACGUGUGUGUGUGUGUUUGUUCGUUCGUUCGUUCACGUGCGUGCGAGGGCGUGCGCGGGCCUCCGUCCCAUUCACAGGCUCCUUUGUGUGGGUGUCUGUCAGCGGUGUUGUCUGCAGGCAGGCCCCCAUUGUGUUGAACUGCUGCUCCUUAUUGACACAGAGGCCCUUGGCACUCUGUGUUCCCAUGGCCCCCCAGCCACAGGCGGACGGAAGGCUGAAACCGGAGCCCCGGGCCUGUGGAGAGUUUGUUUGCUGUUCCUUUUCCCUCCCUUGGUGUUUCUGGUGUCAUUGUGGGUUGGGCAUCAAAAAUCAGGAAGAAAGACAGGAAACAGCGAGAUGCCAAAAUCGUAAGAAACAACCCUCCGUCUGGGGCGGCCGACCGGAGAGAGUGUGAAGCUUUCUUUGGCCUGCUGUGUCCAAAGAAAGAAAGUGAGGAAAUAAAGAGGGAGGGAGCCCCCGAGACCACGUCCAAACACAGCAAACAUGGCAGCACCACACACUGCGUGUAUACUCGGACGUGGCCCGAGCAGGUGAGAUUAUCAGAUAAUCGUUCAAAAAUAAGAAGGCAAAAAUGCCCUGUAUGUUUUUUUGUAAUACAAACGAUACCAUCUCAUAAUACUGGUCCCAGUUCAUUCUGGUCUAAACUAUCACUCUUAUUUAAAAUUAAAUUAUUUGCUUCCAGUUUAAUUGACACUAAUAUUACGCGCCUUGUCAUUUAA
RNAcentral lists this long non-coding RNA (1385 nucleotides) under Takifugu rubripes (torafugu). RNAcentral's name for it is "lncRNA (ENSTRUG00000033297.1)". The record is from RNAcentral. Lineage: Eukaryota; Metazoa; Chordata; Actinopteri; Tetraodontiformes; Tetraodontidae.